Molecule: long non-coding RNA, 4238 nt
Filed under: Danio rerio (zebrafish)
Lineage: Eukaryota; Metazoa; Chordata; Actinopteri; Cypriniformes; Danionidae
Description: lncRNA (ENSDARG00000117619.1)
Source: RNAcentral
GAUUUGUUGAGGUAGUUGUUGUGGGUUCUGGCGUUGUUGUUGGUUCAGGUGUGGGUGUUGUUGUGGGUUCUAGUGUUGUUGUUGGUGCAGGUGUUGGAGGAUUUAUUGUGGUGGUUGUUGUGGGUUCUGGCGUUGUUGUUGGUGCAGGUGUUGGAGGAUUUGUUGUGGUAGUUGUUGUGGGUUCUGGUGUUGUUGUGGCUGCAGGUGUUGGAGGAUUUGUUGUGGUAGUUGUUGUGGGUUCUGGCGUUGUUGUUGGUGCAGUUGUGGGUGUUGUUGUUGGUGCAGUUGUGGGUGUUGUUGUGGGUUCUGGUGUUGUUGUGGCUGCAGGUGUUGGAGGAUUUGUUGUGGUAGUUGUUGUGGGUUCUGGUGUUGUUGUUGAUGCAGGUGUGGUAGUUGUUGUGGGUUCUGGCGUUGUUGUUGUUGGUGCAGGUGUUGGAGGAUUUGUUGUGGUAGUUGUUGUGGGUUCUGGCGUUGUUGUGGCUGCAGGUGUUGGAGGAUUUGUUGUGGUAGUUGUUGUGGGUUCUGGCGUUGUUGUUGGUUCAGGUGUGGGUGUUGUUGUUGGUUCUUGCGUUGUUGUUGGUGCAGGUGUGGGUGCUGUUGUAGGAACUAUUGUGGUUGUUGUUGUGGGUUCUGGUGUUGUUGUUGGUGCAGGUGUGGGUGUUGUUGUAGGAACUAUUGUGGUGGUUGUUGUGGGUUCUGGCGUUGUUGUUGGUUCAGGUGUGGGUGUUGUUGUAGGAACUAUUGUGGUUGUUGUUGUGGGUUCUGGCGUUGUUGUUGGUGCAGGUGUGGGUGUUGUUGUGGGUUCUGGCGUUGUUGUUGGUGCAGGUGUUGGGGGAUUUGUUGUGGUGGUUGUUGUGGGUUCUGGUGUUGUUGUGGCUGCAGGUGUUGUUAUAGGAUUUAUUGUGGUGGUUGUUGUGGGUUCUGGCAUUGUUGUUGGUGCAGGUGUGGGUGCUGUUGUGGUUUCUGGUGUUGUUGUGGCUGCAGGUGUUGUAGGAAUUAUUGUGGUGGUUGUUGUGGGUUCUGGUAUUGUUGGUGCAGGUGUGGUUUCUGGUGUUGUUGUGGGUUCUGGUAUUGUUGUUGGUUCAGGUGUGGUUUCUGUUGUUGUUGUUGUGGGUUCUGGUAUUGUUGUUGGUGCAGGUGUGAUUUCUGGUGUUGUUGUGGGUUCUGGUGUUGUUGUUGGUGCAGGUGUGGUUUCUGGUGUUGUUGUGGGUUCUGGUAUUGUUGUUGGUGCAGGUGUGGUUUCUGGUGUUGUUGUGGGUUCUGGUAUUGUUGUUGGUGCAGGUGUGGUUUCUGGUGUUGUUGUGGGUUCUGGUAUUGUUGUUGGUGCAGGUGUGGUUUCUGGUGUUGUUGUGGGUUCUGGUGUUGUUGUUGGUGCAGGUGUGGUUUCUGGUGUUGUUGUGGGUUCUGGUAUUGUUGUUGGUGCAGGUGUGGUUUCUGGUGUUGUUGUGGGUUCUGGUGUUGUUGUUGAUGCAGGUGUGGUUGUUGUGGUUACUGUUGUAGGUUUUGUUGUUGAAGUUGUUGAAGGUAUUGUUGUAGGUGUUGUUGGAGAUUUUGUGGUUGUGCGUGUUGUUGUAGGUGUUGUUGGAGAUUUUGUGGUUGUGCGUGUUGUUGUAGGUGUUGUUAGAGAUUUUGUGGUUGUGCGUGUUGUAGGUGUUGUUAGAGAUUUUGUGGUUGUGCGUGUUGUUGUAGGUGUUGUUGGAGAUUUAGUUGUUGUGAGUGUUGUUGUAGGUGUUGUUGGAGAUUUCGUGGUUGUGCGUGUUGUUGUAGGUGUUGUCGGAGAUUUUGUGGUUGUGCGUGUUGUUGUAGGUGUUGUUGGAGAUUUUGUGGUUGUGCGUGUUGUUGUAGGUGUUGUUAGAGAUUUCGUGGUUGUGCGUGUUGUUGUAGGUGUUGUUAGAGAUUUUGUGGUUGUGCGUGUUGUAGGUGUUGUUGGAGAUUUUGUGGUUGUGCGUGUUGUAGGUGUUGUUGGAGAUUUAGUGGUUGUGCGUGUUGUAGGUGUUGUUAGAGAUUUUGUGGUUGUGCGUGUUGUAGGUGUUGUUAGAGAUUUUGUGGUUGUGCGUGUUGUGGUAAGUGUUGUUGGAGAUUUUGUGGUUGUACGUGUUGUUGUAGGUGUUGUUAGAGAUUUUGUGGUUGUACGUGUUGUUGUAGGUGUUGUUGGAGAUUUUGUUGUUGUAGGUGUUGUUGGAGAUUUUGUUGUUGUGCGUGUUGUUGUAGGUGUUGUUGUCUGCUUUGUUGUGGAUGUUGUUGUAGAUGUUGCUGCAGCAAUAACACUGCGUCUGUUUCUGAUGAAACUGAUUGGAAAUCUUUCCACUGAAGGUUGAUCGGUGUAGGACAGAGUUAUCUUGCGAAUGGGGAAAUCCUCCAGUACCAGCUCAAAUGAAUAAACUCCAGGGACCAGGGUUUGUUCAUAGGACAGAGAGCAGUUAUUCUACAUUUUAAAGAAAAUAAAAACUUUUAUGAAAUAACUAAUAUACAUAUAUGUUGUAAAUGCUGUGUAGAAAUCAGACUUUAAAACGAAGCUUUUGUAUUAAGCAUAUAUAACACUUGAUUUCAGUUUAUUUUGCAAUGAUAACAUCAAUUUACAACAUCAUAACAAUCAAUUGUAAAACUACAUCCUUAUGGGAAUGGAUUUUCUCAAGCUUUCUGUUUCUCACUGUACUAUUUCCGACAUUAAUCCCAUAAUGGAAAUUUAUUUCCUCCUUGAAUUUAGUGGUAAAUAGUUGCUUGUCAUCCAAUUUCAAUAUCAACUAUGCAGGUUUUAAGAAAUGGUAUGUUAAGUUAGGCCCAAAAGAAAUAUAGAUCGUAUUGUCACCAUAACAAUGAAAACUAACUUUAUGUUAAGUGUAGCAUAAAGAAUGGAAAUUUAUGGACCAUGUAUGGCACCUUGUGGCACUGUAUAUUGAAUUUGUGACCAAAAUUAUACCUCUUAACUUGAUCUAAUGUAAUACCUAAAAUACCAAUAUCAUUAUGAGAUUAUCCAAGAGACUUUUGUAGUUAAUUGUAUCAAAUGCAGCAUUGGGGUUUAUUAACAAUAUUACAGAAAUGCCACCACAAUAAGAUAGAACAAGACGUUAGUAACUCUAAUGCUAUAAAAUGGCUGAAAUCCUGACUAGAAUUCCAUAUACAUUUGUACACUUUCAUAUACAUAUGUCUAUUUUUCCUCACCUGAUUUAAAGUGAAACCAUCAGUUUGGUUGCAGAUUCCACAUUCAGUGUUUUGUGCAAAUCUGCAUCUGACCUGGUCAUCAUCUGGAUCAAAGGCUAAAAGGUUGUACCUCCUGGCACAGUUUUGAGGAACUCUGCAACACAAACAAAGUGCCAAUGUCAUGUACAUUUAUAUUCCUACAUCAUGUUGAAUGCACAUCUAGAAUGCAGUUUUUACCUAAGAAGUGGUAGAGUGGUAGAGAUUGGGGAUCUGUUAGGCACUAAAGUGUCUGAUCUCACUCCCAGAUCAAUGAAAGAAAAAAGAUUCCAGAAUCCGGAGUAUGCGACUAUGUUGUUGAUCCAACAGCAACCCAUUGACCUGUUGAAAUAAAUUGGCAUUUCAUAUUUACAUUGUUUGGUUGGGAUCUAUAUUGUAAGUGUGUGAUUCUGUUAUUCCACUUACACUAACUCAAAUGGUCUGUUGGUGGAUAAAUCCUUUGUUAUGACUCCCUCAGACUGACACCAGUUGUUUCCAUUGGAACUCGAAUCUAUUGUUCCAAUCACGUUACUGACCUCAUUUCCACAGUCUCCAGACAUGCAGGACCAGUGGUUAUACUGGGAACAGUCAUUGUAGGCCAUCUUGUAGCGAAGUUCCACCUGAAAUAAUCAAUAGUUUAAUAAAUGACUGAAGUGAGGUCUUAAAUGUAUGUGAUUGAUGUUGAAAUCUGCUGGUAAGAUGUGCAAACAUCUUUAUUUAAAAAAUACAGCACUGCAGAAAAUCAAAUUUUAAUAGCUGUUGUUUUCACAUUUCAUGAUUAUCUAGGGUAACAUUCAGUUGCCGUCAUGUUCAUACUACAUAACCAUAGAUAUGUACUCUAGAUAUCGCAUACGGACCUUGAGCAUGCGCCGCCACAUUUGUAUAGUGCUCCCAGGACAAACGUCAUUCAACCGCACUAGUCAAGACUAAAGCCAAUGUGAGAUGCUGAACUUUAGCGCUGUGUAUGGGUGUAGUAUUGAACAAACAAAGAAAACAAAGCACGAAGGCAGAACAUUUCAGAGGUAAAAUUGAGUUUUUUACGUUCUUGGAUGUUACAAACG